This is a long non-coding RNA of Monodelphis domestica (gray short-tailed opossum), 1758 nucleotides long. The record is from Ensembl. NCBI's taxonomy places the organism in Eukaryota, Metazoa, Chordata, Mammalia, Didelphimorphia, Didelphidae.
AUAAUGUUUUCCUGGUUCUACUCAUUUCACUCUGCAUCAUUCCAUAUGUCUUUCAAGGUUUUUUGGGUGAUCAUCUAGUUUAUCAUUUUUUAUGAUUCAAUAGUAUCCAUUACAAUUCUAUACCACAACUUGUUCAACCAUCCCCAUUUGAUGUACAUCCCUUCAGUUUCCAGGACUUUGCCACCACAAAAAUGUUGCUUGAAAUAUUUUUGUACAACUAGGCUUUUUCUCCUAUCUUCAGUCUCUUGGAUACAGACUUAUUAGUAGAAAUGCUGGGUCAAAGGGUAUGCACAGUUUUAUGGCCCUUUCAGCAUGGUUCCAGAGACCUCCGGAAUGGACUAUGUACUUUUGGUUUUGUAUAAUGCUCCAACCCUUGAAGAUGAGAAGAUUGUUGUAGAAACAUGAUGGUUUUUGUUUUUUUUUCAAUGACUUUGUUUUUAGGUAGAUUCUUCAAAGUCUCCAGGAAACAUACUAGUGUACAACAGAAGAAAUUACAAGGAUUGCUUUUAUAUGAAAAGGAGGGGAAGCAUGAAGCAUUGGAUAAAAUAUGGGGUUUGGACUCAGAGGAUCUGGGUUGGAAUUGUGCCUCUCCCACUAUCUCUGUGACCUUAGAUAGUGAAAACAUCUGUUCACCCACAAAGUGCUUCAUGCCAGCUGACACAGACCAGGAAGAGAAGCAGAAGAACACUGUUGACAUCAGCUAUCUACAUGCCAGCCACAAUCCAGGCACGCUGGAAGGACACUUCUUUGGUGACUAAUAUCACUCCAGAACAAUGACAUUACACUAUUAGAGACAUUUGCUAUUAGGCUACUGAUGGACACUUGUCAUGCUGACAUCCAUUGAUAUGUUGUACCCAGAACAACAUCAAGUAUGCUAACUCAGAAGGACUAAGACACAUUCAUGUCUGUAUAAGACACCAGAUAUAUCCCACACUCCAAAGACUACUAUGGGAUUGAGAUGAAAUAGCUACAAUUGUUUAGCUACUAAUGUAUAUCUUGUAUUUUGUAUAUGAUACUGUCAAAAGAAAUUUAUAUUGUAUUGCAUUGUAAAUCUACCACUUGUAUUGUAAGAAAUGCUACUAUCAACAAGGGUAUAGACAUUGGUAUGGCUCUACAAAGAGUAGGAAAUAGAAAACUUUCAUUCAUAGCAUAGAUCUGAUACCUCUGACAACAAAAAUGAGGUGCUAAGCAGAAGAUGCUGCACAGGCAUGUGUAAUGGACAGAUGAUACUGAUUUUACUCUCAAGAAAGGAUGAGAGAUCAGGCAAAGUGCACUAUGAAAUCUUUAAUCAGGGAUCUGAGUUAUUGUAAAAGAUCAUUGACAUCCAGGCAAAGAUUAUGUUCCUGACAAUACCUGGAUGGACAUUAUGGGCUGACUACCAUAGGUGUAGUUAAGUUUUAAUAUCGUUGUUAACCAUUAUUACUCCUGAUACCCUGUCUUUGUUGGUAAUAUCUUGAUAAGAACAGUUUCUUGCUCUAUCCCAACAGUCCCAGAAUUCAGACGGCUGCUGGAUUCAGGGUCUAUUGGCUUCCCUUUCACAUACUGGAAGACAUUCUAGUAUGUGAAAGUAAGACCUCAGGAGCAAACUGAGGACUCUGGGUUUGACAAUUUCUGUGGACAUUCAGUCAUUGUCUCUCCUAGGUGGAACAAAUUAUUACACAAAUACAUGGAGCAAGGGCAAAGUAUAAUCUAAGUUUCUCUUUGUUGGAGUAUGUAUUGGAAAUAUGACACAAUAGGCACAGAUAAGCUCAUAGAAAA